GACGAACGCUGGCGGCGUGCUUAACACAUGCAAGUCGAACGGAAAGGCCCUGCUUUUGUGGGGUGCUCGAGUGGCGAACGGGUGAGUAACACGUGAGUAACCUGCCCUUGACUUUGGGAUAACUUCAGGAAACUGGGGCUAAUACCGGAUAGGAGCUCCUGCUGCAUGGUGGGGGUUGGAAAGUUUCGGCGGUUGGGGAUGGACUCGCGGCUUAUCAGCUUGUUGGUGGGGUAGUGGCUUACCAAGGCUUUGACGGGUAGCCGGCCUGAGAGGGUGACCGGCCACAGUGGGACUGAGAUACGGCCGAGACUCCUACGGGGGGAAGGAGGGGGGAAUAGUGCAAAAUGGGCGGAAGCCUGAUGGAGCAACGCCGCGUGCGGGAUGACGGCCUUCGGGUUGUAAACCGCUUUCGCCUGUGAAGAAGAGUGAGUGACGGUAAUGGGUAAAGAAGCACCGGCUAACUACGUG
Molecule: ribosomal RNA, 468 nt
Filed under: uncultured bacterium
Lineage: Bacteria
Description: partial 16S ribosomal RNA
Rfam family: Bacterial small subunit ribosomal RNA
Source: RNAcentral